UAGUCCCGUACACCAAAAUGCACAGGUUGUGAACUCGAAGAGUAGGGCGGGACACGUGGUAUCCUGUCUGAAUAUGGGGGGACCAUCCUCCAAGGCUAAAUACUCCUGACUGACCGAUAGUGAACCAGUACCGUGAGGGAAAGGCGAAAAGAACCCCGGCGAGGGGAGUGAAAAAGAACCUGAAACCGUGUACGUACAAGCAGUGGGAGCACCUUCGGGUGUGACUGCGUACCUUUUGUAUAAUGGGUCAGCGACUUAUAUUCUGUAGCAAGGUUAACCGUAUAGGGGAGCCGCAGGGAAACCGAGUCUUAACUGGGCGUUAAGUUGCAGGGUAUAGACCCGAAACCCGGUGAUCUAGCCAUGGGCAGGUUGAAGGUUGGGUAACACUAACUGGAGGACCGAACCGACUAAUGUUGAAAAAUUAGCGGAUGACUUGUGGCUGGGGGUGAAAGGCCAAUCAAACCGGGAGAUAGCUGGUUCUCCCCGAAAGCUAUUUAGGUAGCGCCUCGUGAACUCAUCUUCGGGGGUAGAGCACUGUUUCGGCUAGGGGGUCAUCCCGACUUACCAACCCGAUGCAAACUACGAAUACCGAAGAAUGUUAUCACGGGAGACACACGGCGGGUGCUAACGUCCGUCGUGAAGAGGGAAACAACCCAGACCGCCAGCUAAGGUCCCAAAGUCAUGGUUAAGUGGGAAACGAUGUGGGAAGGCACAGACAGCCAGGAUGUUGGCUUAGAAGCAGCCAUCAUUUAAAGAAAGCGUAAUAGCUCACUGGUCGAGUCGGCCUGCGCGGAAGAUGUAACGGGGCUAAACCAUG
This 817-nucleotide ribosomal RNA is filed under the name Klebsiella variicola. RNAcentral's name for it is "partial 23S ribosomal RNA". It matches the Rfam family "Bacterial large subunit ribosomal RNA", at positions 368 to 1191 of the family's 2925-position model. RNAcentral also lists the same sequence under 1 other name. The record is from RNAcentral. Lineage: Bacteria; Pseudomonadati; Pseudomonadota; Gammaproteobacteria; Enterobacterales; Enterobacteriaceae.